CUCACACAAUGAUGCCUCUUGUCUUGGGUUUCUGGCUCGGUGACCACACCUGGGACAGACUUGGUCUGUCAUGAUAUGCUGAUACUUUUCACCCGACUGACCUGACUGAUUUCUGAAGUGUUGACCUGCACCAGCACUCGUUGCAUCAAGCACUUAGUUGCUGUAUUUUAAGGCUUUGUAAACCUGAAGCAUCAACUGCCUCCACCAACUCUCCCCAUUCUGUUGUGUUCUUGCCAAAGUCUGCUAUCGUCUGUCCUUCAGUCUUCGGGUUGGCUGUUCGUCUCGGCCCCGCCGGUGGACUGCACGGGUGAGCACACAUGGGAGAAGAGGAACAGGCUGAGUGGGUUUUUAUGGAGUCUGGCUGUCCUUGUGUCUGACGCUGGAGCUACAGUGUCACUGCACACAUCUUCAGCCAUCAUUAGCAAUCUGCACCAGCAUGAGGAGAUGUCGUCUAGUGGAGACCUGCAGUGAAGUCCAGGCAGAGGAGACCAACAAGGGGACAAAGCAGAGAAGGAGGCAGUGCAGGUUCCCUGUGGGGACAACC
This 544-nucleotide long non-coding RNA is filed under the name Cyclopterus lumpus (lumpfish). RNAcentral's name for it is "lncRNA (ENSCLMG00005016268.1)". Lineage: Eukaryota; Metazoa; Chordata; Actinopteri; Perciformes; Cyclopteridae. The record is from RNAcentral.